Molecule: ribosomal RNA, 384 nt
Filed under: uncultured bacterium
Lineage: Bacteria
Description: bacterial SSU rRNA
Rfam family: Bacterial small subunit ribosomal RNA
Source: RNAcentral
GACGAACGCUGGCGGCGUGCUUAACACAUGCAAGUCGAACGAUGAAGCCUUCGGGUGGAUUAGUGGCGAACGGGUGAGUAACACGUGGGCAAUCUGCCCUGUACUUUGGGAUAAGCCUUGGAAACGGGGUCUAAUACCGGAUAUCACUUCUGACCGCAUGGUUGGUUGUUGAAAGUUCUGGCGGUACAGGAUGAGCCCGCGGCCUAUCAGCUUGUUGGUGGGGUAAUGGCCUACCAAGGCGACGACGGGUAGCCGGCCUGAGAGGGUGACCGGCCACACUGGGACUGAGACACGGCCCAGACUCCUACGGGAGGCAGCAGUGGGGAAUAUUGCACAAUGGGCGAAAGCCUGAUGCAGCGACGCCGCGUGAGGGAUGACGGCCUC